Molecule: ribosomal RNA, 308 nt
Filed under: uncultured bacterium
Lineage: Bacteria
Description: bacterial SSU rRNA
Rfam family: Bacterial small subunit ribosomal RNA
Source: RNAcentral
UUGGAAACUGUCGAACUUGAGUGCAGUAGAGGUAAGUGGAACUCCAUGUGUAGCGGUGGAAUGCGUAGAUAUAUGGAAGAACACCAGUGGCGAAGGCGGCUUACUGGACUGCAACUGACGUUGAGGCUCGAAAGUGUGGGUAGCAAACAGGAUUAGAUACCCUGGUAGUCCACACCGUAAACGAUGAACACUAGGUGUUAGAGGGUUUCCGCCCUUUAGUGCCGAAGCUAACGCAUUAAGUGUUCCGCCUGGGGAGUACGACCGCAAGGUUGAAACUCAAAGGAAUUGACGGGGACCCGCACAAGCGG